This 254-nucleotide ribosomal RNA is filed under the name uncultured bacterium. RNAcentral's name for it is "partial 16S ribosomal RNA". It matches the Rfam family "Bacterial small subunit ribosomal RNA", at positions 524 to 776 of the family's 1533-position model. The record is from RNAcentral.
UACGUAGGGGGCGAGCGUUGUCCGGAUUUAUUGGGCGUAAAGAGCUCGUAGGCGGUUCCGUGAGUCGGCUGUGAAAUCUCCACGCUCAACGUGGAGGGGUCAGUCGAUACUGCGGUGACUCGAGUCCGGAAGAGGCGAGUGGAAUUCCUGGUGUAGCGGUGGAAUGCGCAGAUAUCAGGAGGAACACCGAUAGCGAAGGCAGCUCGCUGGGACGGUACUGACGCUAAGACGCGAAAGCGUGGGGAGCGAACAGG